UCCACAGGUCUGACUCCAGCGGGUACAGAGCCACUCGGUGGAUAGAAGCAGAGCACUAAUAAGUCAUGUCUGGGAACCUUUCAUUUUCCAUUCAUUCAUCAAGUGGCUACCUGGAGCCAGGUGAUCCAGAGCUGCCUGUCUUAAGAAGAGAACACUCCCAUGCAAGCUAUCUGAGUCUUCCAUCUCUUCAUCACUUGUAGAAUUUCUUUUGUUUCUGCUGAGUGCCCUGUCUCAUGUUCAGAUUCUCUCUGAUAGGAUUU
This 260-nucleotide long non-coding RNA is filed under the name Ictidomys tridecemlineatus (thirteen-lined ground squirrel). Its description in RNAcentral is "lncRNA (ENSSTOG00000034115.1)". Lineage: Eukaryota; Metazoa; Chordata; Mammalia; Rodentia; Sciuridae. The record is from RNAcentral.